GUUCAUGCAUUAUAUAACUCAGGACUUGUGACUAGCUACUAUGCUAUGCUGUUGGCACCGUUUGGCAGAAAUGUUGAUCUCUGAUUCGUUAUAUAUAUUCGCCCAACUUUGUGACUUCGCGUAAUUGUUAUGUGUGUGUGUUUUGUCUGAGUACAUGACAUGCAGGUCGUCCCAAGAGCCGACUUGCAAUGAGACAGUGCUUCAUUUACUCUUCAAACAAUCUUAGGCUGUAUGAGUUGAGAUUUUAGAGGAAACUGAAAGUAGAGGCUAAGCAAGCAAUCCAUGCUGAUUACGAUCUAUUGGUGAUUGUGUUCAUCCUCGGAGGAUUGGUGGAAGCGUUCGGUAUUUCCAUGCGUUGGGAUCAUGACAGCAUCUCUAGCAUUGCAAUUGCGACAUGGAGGGGCUACCAAUGAUUCAACCUGAUGCAUGGGAAUCCAGCUGGGAAGGUUUCUUCACCUUUUGUUAUUUGGCUUCUCGGUGAAUUCUCUUUUCGGUUUCUCUGUAAACUCCAUGUAUGCUUGGUCCUUCUUGUAACAAAGGUGAGGGAAGAAGAAGUGCAAUAUAGACUUCAGAUUAGUUUCACAAAAGUUAUCAGUUCAUAAUGUUAACAACAAGAAGAUCCUUGUUUUGUUGUCCUCUACUUAUCAACCAAAGCAGUUAGGUUCAUCUAAGAAAUUGACAUUAAAAUACCAUCCUGGCCGGCGCUACACUUUUUUCACUAACAAUUUAAAACUGCUGCGGGUAAUUGACAUUAGUUAGUUAAUUAAAAGCUUGGACCCUAAUUU
This 785-nucleotide long non-coding RNA is filed under the name Setaria italica (foxtail millet). RNAcentral's name for it is "long non-coding RNA (SITA_LNC002703)". The record is from RNAcentral. Lineage: Eukaryota; Viridiplantae; Streptophyta; Magnoliopsida; Poales; Poaceae.